UAAGUAAGCUUUGAUCCAGAGAUUUCCGAAUGGGGAAACCCAGCAUGAGUUAUGUCAUGUUAUCGAUAUGUGAAUACAUAGCAUAUCAGAAGGCACACCCGGAGAACUGAAACAUCUUAGUACCCGGAGGAAGAGAAAGAAAAUUCGAUUCCCUUAGUAGCGGCGAGCGAAACGGGAAGAGCCCAAACCAACAAGCUUGCUUGUUGGGGUUGUAGGACACUCUAUACGGAGUUACAAAGGACGACAUUAGACGAAUCAUCUGGAAAGAUGAAUCAAAGAAGGUAAUAAUCCUGUAGUCGAAAAUGUUGUCUCUCUUGAGUGGAUCCUGAGUACGACGGAGCACGUGAAAUUCCGUCGGAAUCUGGGAGGACCAUCUCCUAAGGCUAAAUACUCUCUAGUGACCGAUAGUGAACCAGUACCGUGAGGGAAAGGUGAAAAGCACCCCGGAAGGGGAGUGAAAUAGAACCUGAAACCGUGUGCUUACAAGUAGUCAGAGCCCGUUAAUGGGUGAUGGCGUGCCUUUUGUAGAAUGAACCGGCGAGUUACGAUUUGAUGCAAGGUUAAGCAGUAAAUGUGGAGCCGUAGCGAAAGCGAGUCUGAAUAGGGCGUUUAGUAUUUGGUCGUAGACCCGAAACCAGGUGAUCUACCCUUGGUCAGGUUGAAGUUCAGGUAACACUGAAUGGAGGACCGAACCGACUUACGUUGAAAAGUGAGCGGAUGAACUGAGGGUAGCGGAGAAAUUCCAAUCGAACCUGGAGAUAGCUGGUUCUCUCCGAAAUAGCUUUAGGGCUAGCCUCAAGUGAUGAUUAUUGGAGGUAGAGCACUGUUUGGACGAGGGGCCCCUCUCGGGUUACCGAAUUCAGACAAACUCCGAAUGCCAAUUAAUUUAACUUGGGAGUCAGAACAUGGGUGAUAAGGUCCGUGUUCGAAAGGGAAACAGCCCAGACCACCAGCUAAGGUCCCAAAAUAUAUGUUAAGUGGAAAAGGAUGUGGCGUUGCCCAGACAACUAGGAUGUUGGCUUAGAAGCAGCCAUCAUUUAAAGAGUGCGUAAUAGCUCACUAGUCGAGUGACACUGCGCCGAAAAUGUACCGGGGCUAAACAUAUUACCGAAGCUGUGGAUUGUCCUUUGGACAAUGGUAGGAGAGCGUUCU
RNAcentral lists this ribosomal RNA (1152 nucleotides) under Staphylococcus aureus. RNAcentral's name for it is "partial 23S ribosomal RNA". It matches the Rfam family "Bacterial large subunit ribosomal RNA", at positions 89 to 1242 of the family's 2925-position model. The record is from RNAcentral. Lineage: Bacteria; Bacillati; Bacillota; Bacilli; Caryophanales; Staphylococcaceae.